AAAUUGAAUCAUGACCUCAAAUUAGGUAGGAGUACCCGCUGAACUUAAGCAUAUCAAUAAGCGGAGGAAAAGAAACUAACAAGGAUUCCCUUAGUAACGGCGAGUGAAGUGGGAAUGGCUCAAAUUUAAAAUCUGGCCAGUUUCUGGUCCGAAUUGUAAUCUAAAGAAGCGUUUUCCGCGUCCAGCUCGAGUAUAGGUCCCUUGGAAUAGGGCAUCAGAGAGGGUGAGAAUCCCGUCUGUGACACGAGUUUGGAGGUGAUAUGAUACGUUUUCGACGAGUCGAGUUGUUUGGGAUUGCAGCUCAAAAUGGGUGAUAAAUUCCAUCUAAGGCUAAAUAAUGGCAAGAGACCGAUAGCGAACAAGUACCGUGAGGGAAAGAUGAAAAGAACUUUGAAAAGAGAGUUAAACAGUACGUGAAAUUGUUGAAAGGGAAACGAUUGAAGCCAGUCGUGCUGGCGGGAAAUCAGCUUUCGGGAUUACUGGAGGUGCACUUUCUCGCAAGGCAGGUUAGCAUCAAUUUCGCAUGUUGUAAAAAGUCCGUCGGAAUGUGACUCCUUUCGGAGUGUUAUAGCCAGCGGUCAAUGCGACGCGUGGGAUUGAGGAUUGCAGCGAGAGCCUUUUAGGCUAAGUGCCUGGCCCUUGUUCGUGAUCGUCUUGGCAACAGCGUGCUGGUGUUGAGAACGAUUCGUGGACACGGGGUGUAGCGUCACGGUAAACUCGUUAAGUG
Molecule: ribosomal RNA, 727 nt
Filed under: Ambispora appendicula
Lineage: Eukaryota; Fungi; Glomeromycota; Glomeromycetes; Archaeosporales; Ambisporaceae
Description: LSU rRNA
Rfam family: Eukaryotic large subunit ribosomal RNA
Source: RNAcentral